UGUAAGCGUAUACCAAAGUUGUUGCAGUUAAAACGCUCGUAGUCGGAAUUUGGCAGUUCCGGAAGUGUGCACGUCGUGUGCGCACUUUGCGGGGACUGCUUUUGUGGUCUUGCGUAGGAUGAGGCACUUUCAUUAGUGAACGUCCUCACGCAACAACUCUUUACUGUGAGAAAAUCAGAGUGCUCAAAGCAGGCAUUUGCCGUGAAUGUAUUAGCAUGGAAUAAUAGAAUAGGACUCGGUUCUAUUUUGUUGGUUUGUUGGGACUGAGUAAUGAUUAAGAGGGACAGUUGGGGGCAUUUGUAUUCCGGCGCUAGAGGUGAAAUUCUUAGAUUGCCGGAAGACAAACUGCUGCGAAAGCGUCUGCCAAGGAUGUUUUCAUUGA
RNAcentral lists this ribosomal RNA (382 nucleotides) under uncultured eukaryote. Its description in RNAcentral is "partial 18S ribosomal RNA". It matches the Rfam family "Eukaryotic small subunit ribosomal RNA", at positions 592 to 976 of the family's 1831-position model. The record is from RNAcentral.